RNAcentral lists this ribosomal RNA (1346 nucleotides) under uncultured bacterium. RNAcentral's name for it is "bacterial SSU rRNA". It matches the Rfam family "Bacterial small subunit ribosomal RNA", at positions 28 to 1381 of the family's 1533-position model. The record is from RNAcentral.
GACGAACUUUGGCGGCGUGCUUAACACAUGCAAGUCGAACGGAAAGGCCCUGCUUUUGUGGGGUGCUCGAGUGGCGAACAGGUGAGUAACACGUGAGUAACCUGCCCUUGACUUUGGGAUAACUCCAGGAAACUGGGGCUAAUACCGGAUAGGAGCUCCUGCUGCAUGGUGGGGGUUGGAAAGUUUCGGCGGUUGGGGAUGGACUCGCGGCUUAUCAGCUUGUUGGUGGGGUAGUGGCUUACCAAGGCUUUGACGGGUAGCCGGCCUGAGAGGGUGACCGGCCACAUUGGGACUGAGAUACGGCCCAGACUCCUACGGGAGGCAGCAGUGGGGAAUAUUGCACAAUGGGCGGAAGCCUGGUGCAGCAACGCCGCGUGCGGGAUGACGGCCUUCGGGUUGUAAACCGCUUUCGCCUGUGACGAAGCGUGAGUGACGGUAAUGGGUAAAGAAGCACCGGCUAACUACGUGCCAGCAGCCGCGGUGAUACGUAGGGUGCGAGCGUUGUCCGGAUUUAUUGGGCGUAAAGGGCUCGUAGGUGGUUGAUCGCGUCGGAAGUGUAAUCUUGGGGCUUAACCCUGAGCGUGCUUUCGAUACGGGUUGACUUGAGGAAGGUAGGGGAGAAUGGAAUUCCUGGUGGAGCGGUGGAAUGCGCAGAUAUCAGGAGGAACACCAGUGGCGAAGGCGGUUCUCUGGGCCUUUCCUGACGCUGAGGAGCGAAAGCGUGGGGAGCGAACAGGCUUAGAUACCCUGGUAGUCCACGCUGUAAACGGUGGGUACUAGGUGUGGGGUCCAUUCCACGGGUUCCGUGCCGUAGCUAACGCUUUAAGUACCCCGCCUGGGGAGUACGGCCGCAAGGCUAAAACUCAAAGGAAUUGACGGGGCCCCGCACAAGCGGCGGAGCAUGCGGAUUAAUUCGAUGCAACGCGUAGAACCUUACCUGGGUUUGACAUGGAUCGGGAGUGCUCAGAGAUGGGUGUGCCUCUUUUGGGGUCGGUUCACAGGUGGUGCAUGCCUGUCGUCAGCUCGUGUCGUGAGAUGUUGGGUUAAGUCCCGCAACGAGCGCAACCCUUGUUCACUGUUGCCAGCACGUUAUGGUGGGGACUCAGUGGAGACCGCCGGGGUCAACUCGGAGGAAGGUGGGGAUGACGUCAAGUCCUCAUGCCCCUUAUGUCCAGGGCUUCACGCAUGCUACAAUGGCUGGUACAGAGAGUGGCGAGCCUGUGAGGGUGAGCGAAUCUCGGAAAGCCGGUCUCAGUUCGGAUUGGGGUCUGCAACUCGACCUCAUGAAGUCGGAGUCGCUAGUAAUCGCAGAUCAGCAACGCUGCGGUGAAUACGUUCCCGGGGCU